Long non-coding RNA from Dromaius novaehollandiae (emu), 718 nucleotides. RefSeq lists it as uncharacterized. The record is from RefSeq and is a predicted model, not a curated record. The transcript is spliced from 2 exons. NCBI's taxonomy places the organism in Eukaryota, Metazoa, Chordata, Aves, Casuariiformes, Dromaiidae.
GUGCGCGGCCGCCCUCCCGCUCACCUUGGCGAUGCUGCUGAGGUAGUAGCAGGCGUAGGCGACGCCGAAGCCCAGCAGCAAGGACAAGCCCACGCCGGAGCCGAAGAGCCCCACGCGGACCUGGCUCUCCAGGACGAAGAUCCCCUGUCGGUCGGGAUGGAGAGGGGACCCUUGGUAAUUCCAGGUGCAGCACUGGUUCAUCAUCUAUAUCUGUAUAAAUAUGUCCAGUGACACUGGACCACUGUGGUGUCGUGUCAGGGUGACCUCUUUUCCCUGUAUGGAUGUCCAGUAAGGCACAGCAGCUUCUCCCCUCCUCACUGACACUUUUGUUUCAAGGAGUUAGUGAAGAUCAGAGAAGGACAGAUGUGAUUUCUAGCUCUAAAGGACAACUCUGCCUGCUCCCUUUGCAGCUGUAUGGGUUAUUGCACUGAGGCCUCACGUGUUCGCUAACUCCGAUGCUGCCCUCUUCAGCUUCAUUAAAAGACACAAGUGUAUCUGCAUUUUUUCUUGGCAAAGUCCUAGGAGCGCAGUCGAUAACACAAAGGUCCUGGAGCUGAGCAUCUGCCACUUGAGAUGCAUGCGUGCACCGCAGAACAUAAAAAUACUUCCCUUUAAUUUAUGCCUCAUGAACUGGUGACAGAAGACAGACUUUGCUCAUUGAGACUCGUCAUUCCAGAAAACAUGAUGGCUCACUUUUUACUUCUUAGCAGAUGUAACU